GACGAACGCUGGCGGCGUGCUUAACACAUGCAAGUCGAACGGAAAGGCCCGGCUUUUGUUGGUUGCUCGAUUGGCGAACGGGUGAGUAACACGUGAGUAACCUGCCCUUGACUUUCUGAUAACUUCAGGAAACUGGGGCUAAUACCGGGUAGAAUCUCCUGCUGCAUGUUGGUGAUUGGAGAGUGUCGGCUGUGGUGGCUGGACUCGAGGCUUAUGAGCUGGUUGGGGUGGUAGUUGCUUACAAGGGCUUUGACGGGUAGCCGGCAUGAGAGGGUGAACGGCGACAUUGGGACUGCGAUACGGACCAGAAUCCUACGGGAGGCAGCAGUGGGGAAUCUUGCACAAUGGGCGGAAGCCUGAUGUAGCAACGCCGCGUGCGGGAUGCCGGCCUUCGGGUUGUAAACAGCUUUGGACUGUGACGAAGAGUGCGUGACGGUAAUGGGUCAAGAAGCCACGGCUAACUACGUG
Molecule: ribosomal RNA, 468 nt
Filed under: uncultured bacterium
Lineage: Bacteria
Description: partial 16S ribosomal RNA
Rfam family: Bacterial small subunit ribosomal RNA
Source: RNAcentral